AUACUUAUUUGGACAUGGUCAAUGUAUAGUCAUUAAGGUUCAUGGCCUAGGUAAGCGAUCUCUAUUGUAUUUGGGAGGGGUGCUCGCCUAAGGUCUUCCCACUGUAGGAGAGCCUACGUUAUAAUUUGUGGUAAUGGGUGAGUUUGAGCUUGAAUCAAGCUCAAA
Hibiscus syriacus is the source of this 165-nucleotide small nuclear RNA. RefSeq annotates it as U1 spliceosomal RNA. The transcript has a single exon. The record is from RefSeq and is a predicted model, not a curated record. Lineage: Eukaryota; Viridiplantae; Streptophyta; Magnoliopsida; Malvales; Malvaceae.